GCCGCCAUUGGUGCCGGCCCCGAGGCAGCGCGGGCGCGGAUCGUGCGACCUUCAGCCCUGCGCGCCCUCAGCUCCGGCCCGGAGCCGCACAGCGGCCGCCGGCGCCAUGGCCGCCUUGGCACGAACCCUGCGUGGGCGCAGGCGGUGCCAGCGCCGGUGGGAUGGCGGCGGGGCCGGAUGCUAUCCCGGCCACUGCCGCGCCCUCACAGCGGAGCACUGCCGGGCGCCAGCCGUGUCCGAGCGGGCAGCGGGGCACGCUGUGCGGCUGAGAUCGACACGGUGACCGCCUCAGCCCGGCCUCAGCCCGCCGCAGGCGCGGCCCUCGAGCAGAGCGAAGGGAAGUUCCAACAGUGCUCCCCCCGGCCCAGCAGCCGUCAGUCGACACCUACAGGUUUUGAGGAAGACGAAGUCACUUCCUCGGAGUCACUGUGUCCAUGAAGCAUUCCCUAAAUGGUCGGCCUUCCGUGUUUAGUCUGUACCAGCUCACGCUCUGUUUUAUAGCACUUCAUUUGAUUGCACACUCUGUGAUCCAUGGCUGAAGCCUGGCCUUUCAUUGUUCUGAAUUCUAGGUGACAACCACUAUUAAAAAGAAGGCUUUAGACCUCCUUUUAAAGAUACAUAGUUUGAUUUUCAGCUGCUUUUUUAUCAUCCCAUCUUUUCCAAACAGAUAAAAGAGAACACACUCCACCAUAACACUCUUCAUGGACUGCCAUUAGGGUAUUUAUAAAAGAGUAAGUUUGAAAGUUUCAGAAUAAACUCUGUAAACUAAGACUGGCAUACUUUGUUCAGAAAGGUUGAGAGCACACUGGAAAAUUUUUCCUCUUAAGAAAACAUACAAACAUCAUCGGGAGAGAAAAUUAGCAAAGAGGAAAUGUUACAAACAUUUUUCUUGUGGUUAAAUCCCUGCUCUUUUCUAUGGAUAUAUGAGGGCAUAUGCAUGACUCAAGCUUGCCAUUCAAAUAUAGUAUUUCCUGUAAAUUUAAUUUUACAGCAAGAGUAAUGAAGACACUGGCUGUUAGCAAGGAAAGCAAUACACUGGCCACAUCAAGUUAGAGGUGAUGCUUGUCUCACUGUCAUCACUAUAGUAGUAGAUAUUGCCACCUUCCUAGCUGUUCAGCUGAAUUGGGAUACAAACUGGAAAAAAAAAAUGCAACUUGCAUUAUACAUGUUGUAUGUAGUGUAGCUGGUUACUUCUCUGAUAUUUCAGAAACCUAACAGUUCUAGUAUUGCAGACAAAAGCAUUAACCAGCACAGAAUCUGAAAAAAAAAACCAACCUGAAGAACUAGAUUUCUCUAUUACCUAAGCAUAUUUACAAACGUACCAUCAUAAAUUCAAAACAUUGAUUAAUCUUGACAUCUCUGGUACAUGUCAGCAAACCUCUUUACUGAAGUCUUCAGAAAGGUCAUGAAAAGGAAAGGCAUGGAGCAGUCAGUGUGGGAGUUCAUGUUAGCAUGCAAGACUGUCUGACAUCCAAAUGUGAUUUUUUUAUUCAAAGUAGUAAAGAUUAUUCUAACAGAACUUUGUAAUAAAAUAAAAUAUUACUGAACAAGAUAUUCUGGGAAGAGCAAUGGAAAAAUUAAUUAAAAAAUAGGCACUAAGACUCAAAACACGGCAGACCUAGUUUAAAAGCGAAAACCAACACCCCAACAUUAUUUUGAGAGAACUACAGGUAUUGUGGUUCCACAGUAUCUGUUUGUAAUUUCUGUAUUUUCUUCAGUCAGAGCAAGGACUAUGAUUAAUGCCCUUCUACUGGCCAAAAAAGGGACAGAACGUUACAUGGACAGUGGUUUUCAGAAACAUGACCAAACAUGUGCAUUUCCAUGUCCAUAAGGACAGUGGUCAACCUGGCAGACCUCUGUUAUUUACAGGCAGGGAACUUCUCUCUGACUGCUUGGCAAUUGUUUCCUUAUGAACUACCAUUAAAAGCCCAAGAGAAUUAGAUGCAUCAUCAAAAGAACUCAAUGUUAAAUGCAAGACUCCCAAGACAUUAUCUAAAAAAUACCCCAAACCAAAAAACCUGUAUACAUAUGACCCGAAGUAUUAAAAUUGUCAAGAUCUGGUUUGCAAAACAGUCUUUUAUUGUAUCCGUGCCACACAUACUAGUGAAAAAUAACACUCCUAAAAAGGGAAAAGAAAAAGAAUGCUACCUUUCCACAACAUUUCUUUUAAAUAAAACUUCAAGUACUCUUACAUUAGUACAAAAAAAAAAUUCCGAUCUAUCUGCCCCAACAAGCCACCACAACACACAGUAGAUAAAACACAGUGGUUACAAAUGUCUUCGUUUGUUAUUCUGUGGCAAGGCAAAUGGAGGAAAUGUUUCUAUGAAAAAAUACUGUGUGCGUAGGAAAUUGUCACAAUUUUCUUCCACAUGGAUACAAAUGAUUAUACUUGGAUUUGAGGCUGUGGGGGCUUGAAAUUAUAUAACAAAAUAGAAAAAUGGAAAACUAAUAUCCCCUACACCCUGUUUUAAAGGCAGGCACUACCAAGAUUAAGGAGACUCCACAGUGUUGGUAGAGGAUAAUUACUGUACAAGCCAUAGAGCUAUAAUUACCUUAAGACUAAAAUAAAAUGCUACCAUCCUCCUAAGGCAUAAACAAUAAUGUCUGCAAACAAUAUGUACACAUCAUACAUAUUUAAAACAAGACUUAAUAUAAACAAUAAUGAACAGUAUAUACAUGUCUCAAUUUUUCUUCACCGUCUUGAAAUACAAUUUAACUACACAAGUGAUGCAGCAACAUAUAUAUAAAUGUACUUGUAACUCUACAGUAAAGUUUAAUUUUUAGUGCCUUCAUAGCACAUCAGUGUAAACAGUUUUACUUGGCUUUGUUUUAUAUUUUAAAACAUUCCUUGUUGUAUUUUCAACAUUUAAAGCAAUUUUCUAGUUCUUCCUUUUCACAGAAAACGAAGAUUCUGAAUGCUGUAUAAUCAUAAAUAAUUCAUAAAAUUAAAUACAUUCACUAAAAAAUAAACUACAAAGUAAAAAAAAAAGAAAAAUAGAUAUUUAUUGAAAGGGAAAAGAGAACCAUUUCCCCAAGUAGAGCUCUGAUGGUUGAAUAUUCAGUGCGUUUUGAAAAUUGCUAUUGCACUAUAACACCCCUUUCUUUGAAAUUCUUUGGGUGUGCUUCCCUGUUCUACCUAAAUUAGUUUGUUAAAACACACAAACCAAUAACCAAGGGGCCAUGGUUGCUGUAGGAGUGAAGCCUUUAAAACUAGUAUCACAACUCCGUGGUAUUUCGAAGGAAAAAAUUAGUUAUGUGCCUUGCACUUCCGUGUAAAUAUAGUUCACAUUGCUGGUCUUAUCAGUCCUCAAUUAAUGGAAGGAAAAAAAAAAGAAAAAAAAAA
Molecule: long non-coding RNA, 3343 nt
Organism: Passer montanus (Eurasian tree sparrow)
Lineage: Eukaryota; Metazoa; Chordata; Aves; Passeriformes; Passeridae
Exons: 2
Source: RefSeq, a predicted model, not a curated record